GACUCCAUGAAGCUGGAUUCGCUAGUAAUCGCGCAUCAGCCACGGCGCGGUGAAUACGUUCCCGGGCCUUGUACACACCGCCCGUCAAGCCAUGGAAGCCGGGGGUGCCUGAAGUGCGUGACCGCAAGGAGCGCCCUAGGGUAAAACCGGUGACUGGGGCUAAGUCGUAACAAGGUAUC
This 179-nucleotide ribosomal RNA is filed under the name uncultured bacterium. Its description in RNAcentral is "partial 16S ribosomal RNA". It matches the Rfam family "Bacterial small subunit ribosomal RNA", at positions 1314 to 1500 of the family's 1533-position model. The record is from RNAcentral.